Molecule: ribosomal RNA, 2762 nt
Filed under: Escherichia coli
Lineage: Bacteria; Pseudomonadati; Pseudomonadota; Gammaproteobacteria; Enterobacterales; Enterobacteriaceae
Also listed under: 1 other name
Description: partial 23S ribosomal RNA
Rfam family: Bacterial large subunit ribosomal RNA
Source: RNAcentral
CACACUAUCAUUAACUGAAUCCAUAGGUUAAUGAGGCGAACCGGGGGAACUGAAACAUCUAAGUACCCCGAGGAAAAGAAAUCAACCGAGAUUCCCCCAGUAGCGGCGAGCGAACGGGGAGGAGCCCAGAGCCUGAAUCAGUGUGUGUGUUAGUGGAAGCGUCUGGAAAGGCGCGCGAUACAGGGUGACAGCCCCGUACACAAAAAUGCACAUAUUGUGAGCUCGAUGAGUAGGGCGGGACACGUGGUAUCCUGUCUGAAUAUGGGGGGACCAUCCUCCAAGGCUAAAUACUCCUGACUGACCGAUAGUGAACCAGUACCGUGAGGGAAAGGCGAAAAGAACCCCGGCGAGGGGAGUGAAAAAGAACCUGAAACCGUGUACGUACAAGCAGUGGGAGCCUCUUUAUGGGGUGACUGCGUACCUUUUGUAUAAUGGGUCAGCGACUUAUAUUCUGUAGCAAGGUUAACCGAAUAGGGGAGCCGAAGGGAAACCGAGUCUUAACUGGGCGUUAAGUUGCAGGGUAUAGACCCGAAACCCGGUGAUCUAGCCAUGGGCAGGUUGAAGGUUGGGUAACACUAACUGGAGGACCGAACCGACUAAUGUUGAAAAAUUAGCGGAUGACUUGUGGCUGGGGGUGAAAGGCCAAUCAAACCGGGAGAUAGCUGGUUCUCCCCGAAAGCUAUUUAGGUAGCGCCUCGUGAAUUCAUCUCCGGGGGUAGAGCACUGUUUCGGCAAGGGGGUCAUCCCGACUUACCAACCCGAUGCAAACUGCGAAUACCGGAGAAUGUUAUCACGGGAGACACACGGCGGGUGCUAACGUCCGUCGUGAAGAGGGAAACAACCCAGACCGCCAGCUAAGGUCCCAAAGUCAUGGUUAAGUGGGAAACGAUGUGGGAAGGCCCAGACAGCCAGGAUGUUGGCUUAGAAGCAGCCAUCAUUUAAAGAAAGCGUAAUAGCUCACUGGUCGAGUCGGCCUGCGCGGAAGAUGUAACGGGGCUAAACCAUGCACCGAAGCUGCGGCAGCGACACUAUGUGUUGUUGGGUAGGGGAGCGUUCUGUAAGCCUGUGAAGGUGGCCUGUGAGGGUUGCUGGAGGUAUCAGAAGUGCGAAUGCUGACAUAAGUAACGAUAAAGCGGGUGAAAAGCCCGCUCGCCGGAAGACCAAGGGUUCCUGUCCAACGUUAAUCGGGGCAGGGUGAGUCGACCCCUAAGGCGAGGCCGAAAGGCGUAGUCGAUGGGAAACAGGUUAAUAUUCCUGUACUUGGUGUUACUGCGAAGGGGGGACGGAGAAGGCUAUGUUGGCCGGGCGACGGUUGUCCCGGUUUAAGCGUGUAGGCUGGUUUUCCAGGCAAAUCCGGAAAACCAAGGCUGAGGCGUGAUGACGAGGCACUACGGUGCUGAAGCGACAAAUGCCCUGCUUCCAGGAAAAGCCUCUAAGCAUCAGGUAACAUCAAAUCGUACCCCAAACCGACACAGGUGGUCAGGUAGAGAAUACCAAGGCGCUUGAGAGAACUCGGGUGAAGGAACUAGGCAAAAUGGUGCCGUAACUUCGGGAGAAGGCACGCUGAUAUGUAGGUGAAGCGACUUGCUCGUGGAGCUGAAAUCAGUCGAAGAUACCAGCUGGCUGCAACUGUUUAUUAAAAACACAGCACUGUGCAAACACGAAAGUGGACGUAUACGGUGUGACGCCUGCCCGGUGCCGGAAGGUUAAUUGAUGGGGUUAGCGGUAACGCGAAGCUCUUGAUCGAAGCCCCGGUAAACGGCGGCCGUAACUAUAACGGUCCUAAGGUAGCGAAAUUCCUUGUCGGGUAAGUUCCGACCUGCACGAAUGGCGUAAUGAUGGCCAGGCUGUCUCCACCCGAGACUCAGUGAAAUUGAACUCGCUGUGAAGAUGCAGUGUACCCGCGGCAAGACGGAAAGACCCCGUGAACCUUUACUAUAGCUUGACACUGAACAUUGAGCCUUGAUGUGUAGGAUAGGUGGGAGGCUUUGAAGUGUGGACGCCAGUCUGCAUGGAGCCGACCUUGAAAUACCACCCUUUAAUGUUUGAUGUUCUAACGUUGGCCCGUAAUCCGGGUUGCGGACAGUGUCUGGUGGGUAGUUUGACUGGGGCGGUCUCCUCCUAAAGAGUAACGGAGGAGCACGAAGGUUGGCUAAUCCUGGUCGGACAUCAGGAGGUUAGUGCAAUGGCAUAAGCCAGCUUGACUGCGAGCGUGACGGCGCGAGCAGGUGCGAAAGCAGGUCAUAGUGAUCCGGUGGUUCUGAAUGGAAGGGCCAUCGCUCAACGGAUAAAAGGUACUCCGGGGAUAACAGGCUGAUACCGCCCAAGAGUUCAUAUCGACGGCGGUGUUUGGCACCUCGAUGUCGGCUCAUCACAUCCUGGGGCUGAAGUAGGUCCCAAGGGUAUGGCUGUUCGCCAUUUAAAGUGGUACGCGAGCUGGGUUUAGAACGUCGUGAGACAGUUCGGUCCCUAUCUGCCGUGGGCGCUGGAGAACUGAGGGGGGCUGCUCCUAGUACGAGAGGACCGGAGUGGACGCAUCACUGGUGUUCGGGUUGUCAUGCCAAUGGCACUGCCCGGUAGCUAAAUGCGGAAGAGAUAAGUGCUGAAAGCAUCUAAGCACGAAACUUGCCCCGAGAUGAGUUCUCCCUGAGACUUAGAGUCUCCUGAAGGAACGUUGAAGACGACGACGUUGAUAGGCCGGGUGUGUAAGCGCAGCGAUGCGUUGAGCUAACCGGUACUAAUGAACCGUGAGGCUUAACCUU